This 484-nucleotide ribosomal RNA is filed under the name uncultured bacterium. RNAcentral describes it as "partial 16S ribosomal RNA". It matches the Rfam family "Bacterial small subunit ribosomal RNA", at positions 30 to 507 of the family's 1533-position model. The record is from RNAcentral.
AUUGAACGCUGGCGGCAGGCCUAACACAUGCAAGUCGAGCGGAUGAAGGGAGCUUGCUCCUGGAUUCAGCGGCGGACGGGUGAGUAAUGCCUAGGAAUCUGCCUGGUAGUGGGGGAUAACGUCCGGAAACGGGCGCUAAUACCGCAUACGUCCUGAGGGAGAAAGUGGGGGAUCUUCGGACCUCACGCUAUCAGAUGAGCCUAGGUCGGGUUAGCUAGUUGGUGGGGUAAAGGCCUACCAAGGCGACGAUCCGUAACUGGUCUGAGAGGAUGAUCAGUCACACUGGAACUGAGACACGGUCCAGACUCCUAAGGGAGGCAGCAGUGGGGAAUAUUGGACAAUGGGCGAAAGCCUGAUCCAGCCAUGCCGCGUGUGUGAAGAAGGUCUUCGGAUUGUAAAGCACUUUAAGUUGGGAGGAAGGGCAGUAAGUUAAUACCUUGCUGUUUUGACGUUACCAACAGAAUAAGCACCGGCUAACUUCGUG